CACACGCCCGGGAAGCGGCCGCCGCGGAGCCGGCGUCCGCAGCGGCUGCGCAUCUCGGGCCUGCAGCGGGGCGCUUGGCGGGCGGGGGCCGGGGGAGAGCCUGUUUGCGCAGUACCCCCGGAGGGCGGAAGGCCGCCGAGAGAAACAGCAAGUGACAGAGCAGAGGAACGGCUGGCCCAGCCAAUCCUGGAGCUGCUGUUGCAGCACUUGUUCCCCAAACAAGUGCUCCUACAUUCUGGUAGGAGGACAGAGAGGAGGGGGCUACUGGUCCACACCCCUCCCCUGCCGAGGACCCCAUGGCUGCUCCCCUGCAGGAAAGGCAGCUAGGCUGCCUUAGGCCGGAUGGGCAGAGGCUGCCAUGGCCCAGGGUGGUGACGGUUUUGCGGCCCCUCCCUGCUGCCCAGAGUGGGAAGAAGAGCGCAGAGCCUGAGGACUCAGGAGAGUGCAGCUUGCUCUGUGAGUGGGUGACAACCUCUUGGCGACUCAGGCUCAGCUGAGGAUGGUGCCAGUGUGCCGGAGACAGCCGUCAUACUGCCGGAUAGAGUGGCUCACUUGCAUGUAUUUGGAACAAAAAAAGGAGAUGCCUGGCAGCCCCGCUCUCUGCAGUGCUGUUGAGCCACCAAUUUUUGUGGUUUUGUGACCACAAGUGCUGACUGAUGCGACAUGACCCCAGUCUUGUCAGUGAAUCAUCACCAGGCUGCUUACUGGAAACUGGAUGCAGCAAGGAAAUAGGAUUUAACCGCUCUCUGCCUCCCAGGGCUGUCCGUCUCCCAGAUGCUGCUCUUCAGGGCUCCUGGCGCCAGUGCUGAGGUGACAGAGCAAAGGUCUGAAAACUGGCCCCUUCACGCAGCAGUGUCCAAAGCGGGGGGCAUGGCACACCCCCUCUGGCUUCCACAUGGCGGGCACAGGCCACAGGCACAGGAUCUCUGCAGAAACCAGGCAGUGGAACAACGCCAACCCCACACUCUCGGGUGCCUGUGUGUGCCACGUCUCAUCCUGGGCCAUCUCCUCUUGGAUCUGCCAGGCGUGUUGGCGAUGAGGACCCUGCGGCAGUGGUUGGGCUCCACCAGCAAGUGGUAAAGCUGGAACUUCUAAAAGGACAAGUCCGGGAGUGACUGCCCCUGCCGGCUGCAGGAGGGCAGGGUCUUCAAGCUGGCUGGGGUGCCGCGCCUGGCCACCACUUCUUUCAUUCUCAGUAUUGGUUAAUUUGCGUCUUUUUUUGUCAGUCUGGCUACAGGUUUACACACUUUAUUGAUCUCCAAGUAGCAACUGUUGGUUUCACUGAUUUCCUCUAUUUUUUUUUCUUUUCUCAAUUUCAUUGAUUUUGGCUCUAUUUUUAUCAUUUCCUUACAUCUGCUAGUUUGGGAUUUAACUUGCUCUUUUUUAGUUUCUUAAGGUGGAAAAUUAGAUCAUUGAUUUGAGACUUUUCUUUUUUUCUAACACAAGUAUAUUAUGCUAUACAUUCCCCUGUAAGCAAUGCUUUAGCUGCAUCCUACAUAUUUGGAUAUUUUGAGAUGUUGUGUUUUUAUUCAAUUCAAAACACUUUCUAAUCUCCCUGCUGACUACUUCUUUUAUGCAUGGGUUAUUUAGAAGUGUCCUGUACACUUUCCAAUUCUUUGGGGAUUGGCUUUGUUAUUGAUUUCUGCUUUCAUUCUAUUGUGAUAAUGCAUGUUGAAUGAUUUCAAUUUUCUGAAGUUUGUUAAAAGUUGUCUUAUUGUCUAGAAUAUGGUCUACUUUGGAGAAUGUUUCAUGUGUACUUGGGGAGUAUAUACUUUUAAAUCACUGUUAUUCAGUGAUUUCUUUCUUUAAAUGGGCAAGUCCCCUACAUGGUCUUCAUACUUUUGGUCACUCCAGAGUGCCUUAAACAUUUGGUCUUUAAAAAAAAAAUUUUUUUUAUCCAGAGUUUAUCAUUUUUAUUUGUGAGACGAUUAGUCUGUCACAGUUUACCACUACCAUAGCCAGAACUCUUAGAUUUCUUGUAAUACAAGAUGAAACUUUCUUUAAGCCAGUGUGUAUUUUUUUUUUUUGGUUCUUUCAAACAAAAACUUCUAACUCAUGCAGGUACACAGUAGUUCACACUGUAUAAAAUGAAAUGCCAAGAACAUGUAGGGGUGAGAAAUAGGGAACUCUAGCUAGAACUAUUUUUUGACUUGAAUUGACCUGAAUUAAAAUAAAUUAGAAACCAAUUAUACAGGAGGAGGAAGCACAUACACCUGCUUUGUUUAUCUGUAGAUGAAACUAUUUACAAAAUGUUUCCAUAGUAUUUACAAAUGAAGAAGGAAAUAAAUUGAAACACUACCUUUACACUCUGGAGCAGCACGACUCCACACUGAAUUGUCACCACAAUAAAUCGUGCUCUCUCCAAUAAGUGAAAAUGGAUCUGGUCCAGGUGCAGGAUCACAACUAUAAGUUACUGCAUCAAGAUACUCAAAUACUUCUACUUCACUAAAGGUGUGUUUUCCAUUUUUUAUUUUUGGAGGUGGUGUACACAAAACCUCUUAAAAAUGAAGAAAAAGAGGAAAGGAAAUGUAAAAGAUUAAGACAGCAUUAGUAAAAUUUCUGUGUCUUCAAUAAAUUUGUCAAUAUAGGGUUUCUACAAGCUGUUUGUGAAUUCAAUAUGGAUUUAAAAGAAGGUUUCUAUGAGCAAAUAUAUCAUCCCAAAUUCAAACCAUUAAUGUAGUAACUAACUUUCAGAACAAAUCUCAUUUUCUUAAAGUGUAAAUACCUAUUGAUAUGGUUUGGAUCUGUGUCCCCACCAAAUCGCAUGUCAAAUUGUAGUCCACAAUGUUGGAGGUGGGGCCUGGUGGGAGGGGUCUGAAUCAUGGGGGUGGAUUUCUCAUGAAUGGUUUAGCACCGUCCCCUUGGUGCUGUUCUCGUGAUACUGAGUGCUUGGGAGAUCUGGUUAUUUAAAAGUGCGCAACACCUCCCGUCCUCCCCACCUUGCUCCUCCUGCUCCUGCCAUGUGAGACACCUUGCUCUCCUUCUGUCUUUCCCAAUGGUUGUUAAGUUUCCCGAGGCCUACCCAAACCCCCAGCAGAUGCCAGCACCAUGCUUCCUGUACAGCU
This is a long non-coding RNA of Homo sapiens (human), 3065 nucleotides long. Ensembl annotates it as MIR29B2 and MIR29C host gene. Its record names the gene MIR29B2CHG. NCBI's taxonomy places the organism in Eukaryota, Metazoa, Chordata, Mammalia, Primates, Hominidae. The record is from Ensembl.